GUCGUUAGUAUAUGUUCAAUUAUUUAUUAUUAUCCAUUUAUAUCGUCAAUAAUUUAUUAUCCUUACAUAAAUCGUUAUUUGAGCUUCACUUAAAGGAUAAACUAGUUUUUAAUCGAUUUUAUAUGUGUAUCAUAUCACAGUUGCUACAGUUUCAUGUGUUAAUUAUAUUAUUUUUAUUAUAUUACGUCAACAAAUAGAGUAAAAUGAACUAAAAUACGUAGUUACACAAAGAAACGAAAAAUUUUUCCCGAAUUUUGAUCGUCCUUCAUUAAAAGUGCAAUCGUGAUUCCAUUGUAAUUAAUCGUCAGCGGAUGAUCGAGCCAAUGCAGUUUCAGUAUACAUACGUAACAACGUAUGAAAAAGUGAAUAUGCAAAGUAAAUAGUUCUUCCAAGAAGGUUUAAGAGAAAUAUACCGAUUGCUGUGAUUAGCUUCAGAAGUACCCCAAAUGUAGCCGUCAAUAUAUACAUGGCAAUUGCAAGGCACAUUUUUUAUAAAAGCCAUUAAUUACUACUACACAUAUAUAUGUGUGUGUAUGUAUAUAUAUGUAUAUAUAUAUACACAUACAUGUUAUAUGUGUUUGUAAAGAAUAAAGGAAAAACGGGAAAACCAAUAUAUAUCGAAUAUAAUUAAAAACGAGAUUUCGAUAAUCAAUUGUUAACGUAGUAAUAUAUAUAUAUACAUUUCCUGUACAAAUUAUCAGGUGUAUCAUAUUUAAUAUGUUUCUUAUCAACAUAAAAUUUAUUUUAUUUUAGACUGUGUGUGCACGCGAACAUGAACGCGCAUGUUGUUUAAAUUGGCGUGUACUUUAGCCUGUUACGUGCUAUGUGCACUGCAGAUUAUUGACAUUAUGUAUAGUGCUAAAAUAUAAUGCCAGUUACCCAGAUUCAAUGUAAAGAAUGUAGUCGUCAUUUGCGUUUAAUAAUUUUGAUACAGCAAUAUAAUUGGGUAAAAAGAAAAUGUUUCAUACUAAUACCAAAGAGAAAAUUUCUCUGCUAAUACGUGUAGUAUAUACAUACAUAUGUGUAUACUUAUUUAUGUAGGUGGAAGGAAAUUUGUUAUUUGAUAACAAUGUUUCAUGAAACUUGCGUUACCAGUUCAUUUAUAAUAGAACAAAAACGAACUUAAAUGAUGAUUUGCGAAGAUCUAAAACAUAACCGUUAUACGAAAUUAUAAUUAUACAAGUAAGUAUGAAUUCAAAUAUGUCGACGUGUGCAUGUCUUGAUCUUCAUGUACUUCAUAUUUUACAUCGAUAUUUUCCUAGCGAAACUUGAAUCUUCCUUUCGAGAUGGUAAAGCACCUGAUGGUAAAGAUGGUAACACAAUGUCAAAAUACUGUAGUUGAUACAUGUCAAUCUGUUUGUUCUCGAUUCUGAUUUUUAGUAAAUAUUGAUAUUUAAAAUAUUUAUUUAAGCUACUGUUGAUAUAUGUACCCACCUGUGUCUUGAUGCGUCAACAUAGUGUAAACAUAUUUGUUAAUAUUAUUGUCGUAGUUAAUAUUUGUAUAUCAUUCUGAUGUAUCUUUCGAUUAGUUUUUCCAGGAAUCCUGUAUUUUCUAUAAAUAUAUCAUGUUAAUACUAAUUUUCCCAAUUUUUUAUCGGGGAUAGGAAGUGGUGAGACAGAGAAAAGAGAAAGGGGAGGCGGGAGAGAAAAAAGAUAAGUAAGUGGGGGAGAAGUAAGAAAUAUGAUUGUAUGCUCAUAUGCAUGAUUGAUUCGGUAUAACUCGUUUGUAAAAAUGACGCGUGUUUUAUUAUGCAUAGAUAUUUCACUGUCAAACCGUCUAUCUUCGUUUAGCUUUUUUCUUACAUAGUAUUAAAGGUAGAUAUUAAAUUGUGUCAAACAGCGAGACAUACAUACUUAUAGUAGAAUACAGACUGUUGGAUGGACGUGAAAUAUGUAAUAUUAACAAGAAUGGUCUAGAAUUUUUCGGCAUGACAUUCGGAGCGACGACUCAGGAGAGAUAGGUAACUGAAGAGGAGUUAAUGAUGCAAGAGAAAGAAAGUGGAUAAAACAGGUGAUUUAGGAAGAAAACAUUUCAGAAGUAAAUGGUGGAAAUAAUGUUGCAGAUCUGUGCAUAAAAAAUGUGCGUGAAAAAUAAAAUAAAAAUAAGGCAAAGGUAAAGCAUGCGUGAAAAGAAAUAGAAAUAAGAGAGAAAAGAAACAGGAAAAGAUAAAAGUUAAGAUUAAGGAUCAAAAAGUGUUGAAAGAGUGGAGAAAGAUACAAGUUUUGACCGGUGAAUCUUACUUUCGACGAUUCGCGACAUCCCACGCGCAAGCUAUUAAGGCAUUUACUGUUAAAUCUCCAGGAACAACAUUGGCUUCUAUGGAUCCAUCGCAAUGAAUCGAUCGUAAGACCCCGGUACCAGCCCCAGCUGCAACACCUGUUGGUCCGUACAAGUUGUCGAUCCAUCCUCGCACCGGUUCUUGGUAUGUUGAUAUCACUGAAAAUUCCAUCAAAUGUCCAAUCAAAUUAA
Bombus impatiens (common eastern bumble bee) is the source of this 2470-nucleotide long non-coding RNA. RefSeq lists it as uncharacterized. NCBI's taxonomy places the organism in Eukaryota, Metazoa, Arthropoda, Insecta, Hymenoptera, Apidae. The record is from RefSeq and is a predicted model, not a curated record. The transcript is spliced from 2 exons.